RNAcentral lists this ribosomal RNA (484 nucleotides) under uncultured bacterium. RNAcentral's name for it is "partial 16S ribosomal RNA". It matches the Rfam family "Bacterial small subunit ribosomal RNA", at positions 30 to 507 of the family's 1533-position model. The record is from RNAcentral.
AUUGAACGCUGGCGGCAUGCCUUACACAUGCAAGUCGAACGGCAGCACGGGAGCAAUCCUGGUGGCGAGUGGCGAACGGGUGAGUAAUACAUCGGAACGUGCCCAAUCGUGGGGGAUAACGCAGCGAAAGCUGUGCUAAUACCGCAUACGAUCUACGGAUGAAAGCAGGGGACCGCAAGGCCUUGCGCGAAUGGAGCGGCCGAUGGCAGAUUAGGUAGUUGGUGGGGUAAAGGCUCACCAAGCCAACGAUCUGUAGCUGGUCUGAGAGGACGACCAGCCACACUGGGACUGAGACACGGCCCAGACUCCUACGGGAGGCAGCAGUGGGGAAUUUUGGACAAUGGGCGCAAGCCUGAUCCAGCCAUGCCGCGUGCAGGAUGAAGGCCUUCGGGUUGUAAACUGCUUUUGUACGGAACGAAACGGCCUUUUCUAAUAAAGAGGGCUAAUGAUGGUACCGUAAGAAUAAGCACCGGCUAACUACGUG